UCUCCUCCUGGUUGCAAACAGAAGAUUGGUUCAUUUGCGCAUGCUGUGCAAAACUUGCCACAAAGUCUUUGUGCCAUCAGCAUGAAAAGAAUCCUUUGCCCAGGCGGGAGAUUAGGGUGGCCAGCGGGAAUCCCUGCACCCGAAAUUCAGAUCAGAAUGGGAAAAGUACUACUGAAAGCUGUAUUGAUCUGGAUGGUAUUUUCCAUCUGAGUGCAACUGCCUUGGGGAAGAUGGGACACCUGCACCAUGUCAGGUGGAUGCUGUCCCACAAAAAGG
Long non-coding RNA from Passer domesticus (house sparrow), 276 nucleotides. RefSeq lists it as uncharacterized. The record is from RefSeq and is a predicted model, not a curated record. Lineage: Eukaryota; Metazoa; Chordata; Aves; Passeriformes; Passeridae. The transcript is spliced from 2 exons.